UGGGGAAUUUUGGACAAUGGGCGAAGCCUGAUCCAGCAAUGCCGCGUGUGUGAAGAAGGCCUUCGGGUUGUAAAGCACUUUUGUCCGGAAAGAAAUCCUUGGCUCUAAUACAGUCGGGGGAUGACGGUACCGGAAGAAUAAGCACCGGCUAACUACGUGCCAGCAGCCGCGGUAAUACGUAGGGUGCAAGCGUUAAUCGGAAUUACUGGGCGUAAAGCGUGCGCAGGCGGUUUGCUAAGACCGAUGUGAAAUCCCCGGGCUCAACCUGGGAACUGCAUUGGUGACUGGCAGGCUAGAGUAUGGCAGAGGGGGGUAGAAUUCCACGUGUAGCAGUGAAAUGCGUAGAGAUGUGGAGGAAUACCGAUGGCGAAGGCAGCCCCCUGGGCCAAUACUGACGCUCAUGCACGAAAGCGUGGGGGGCAAACAGGAUUAGAUACCCUGGUAGUCCACGCCCUAAACGAUGUCAACUAGUUGUUGGGGAUUCAUUUCCUUAGUAACGUAGCUAACGCGUGAAGUUGACCGCCUGGGGAGUACGGUCGCAAGAUUAAAACUUAAAUGAAUUGACGGGGUCAUAGCUG
Molecule: ribosomal RNA, 578 nt
Filed under: uncultured bacterium
Lineage: Bacteria
Description: partial 16S ribosomal RNA
Rfam family: Bacterial small subunit ribosomal RNA
Source: RNAcentral